UACGUAGGUGGCAAGCGUUGCCCGGAAUUAUUGGGCGUAAAGCGCGCGCAGGCGGUCCUUUAAGUCUGAUGUGAAAGCCCACGGCUCAACCGUGGAGGGUCAUUGGAAACUGGGGGACUUGAGUGCAGAAGAGGAAAGCGGAAUUCCACGUGUAGCGGUGAAAUGCGUAGAGAUGUGGAGGAACACCAGUGGCGAAGGCGGCUUUCUGGUCUGUAACUGACGCUGAGGCGCGAAAGCGUGGGGAGCAAACAGG
RNAcentral lists this ribosomal RNA (253 nucleotides) under uncultured bacterium. RNAcentral's name for it is "partial 16S ribosomal RNA". It matches the Rfam family "Bacterial small subunit ribosomal RNA", at positions 524 to 776 of the family's 1533-position model. The record is from RNAcentral.